This 506-nucleotide ribosomal RNA is filed under the name uncultured bacterium. Its description in RNAcentral is "partial 16S ribosomal RNA". It matches the Rfam family "Bacterial small subunit ribosomal RNA", at positions 29 to 523 of the family's 1533-position model. The record is from RNAcentral.
AGUGAACGCUGGCGGUAGGCCUAACACAUGCAAGUCGAACGGCAGCACAGAGGAGCUUGCUCCUUGGGUGGCGAGUGGCGGACGGGUGAGGAAUACAUCGGAAUCUACUCUGUCGUGGGGGAUAACGUAGGGAAACUUACGCUAAUACCGCAUACGACCUACGGGUGAAAGCAGGGGACCUUCGGGCCUUGCGCGAUUGAAUGAGCCGAUGUCGGAUUAGCUAGUUGGCGGGGUAAAGGCCCACCAAGGCGACGAUCCGUAGCUGGUCUGAGGGGAUGAUCAGCCACACUGGAACUGAGACACGGACCAGACGCCUACGGGAGGGAGCAGUGGGGAAUAUUGGACAAUGGGCGCAAGCCUGAUCCAGCCAUACCGCGUGGGUGAAGAAGGCCUUCGGGUUGUAAAGCCCUUUUGUUGGGAAAGAAAUCCAGCUGGCUAAUACCCGGUUGGGAUGACGGUACCCAAAGAAUAAGCACCGGCUAACUUCGUGCCAGCCGCCGCCGUAA